UUCCGGUUGAUCCUGCCGGAAGUCACUGCUAUCCGAAUUCGGCUAAAGCAUGCUAUGACUUUGCCGCAAGGCAAGGCGUACGGCUCAGUAACACGCAUUUAAUCUGCCCUUAGGUCUGGAAUAAUCCCGGGAAACUGGGGCUAAUACCGGAUAGAUAUGGGAUACUGGAAUGUCCCCAUAUCCAAAGCUUCGGUGCCUAAGGAUGAGACUGCGGCUGAUUAGGUUGUUGCGAAGGUAAAGUCUUCGCGAGCCUAUAAUCAGUACGGGCCUUGAAAGAGGAAGCCCGGAGAUGGAUUCUGAGACAAGAAUCCAGGCCUUACGGGGCGCAGCAGCUGCGAAAAUUUCACAAUGCGCGAAAGCGUGAUGAAGGGAUUCGGAGUGCUCUCUCCAAAGGAGAUAGCUUUUGUCAAGUCCAAAAAACUUGGCGAAUAAGGGGUGGGUAAGACGGGUGCCAGCCGCCGCGGUAAUACCCGCGCCCCAAGUGGUGACCACGCUUAUUGGGCUUAGAGCAUCCGUAGCCGGUCCGGAAAGUUCUCAAUGAAAUUCUACAGCUAACUGUGGAGCUUGUUGGGAAAACUCCCGGACUUGAGACCAGGAGAGGCCAAGGGUAUUGUGGGGGUAGGGGUUAAAUCCUAUAAUCCUCAUAGGACCACCUGUGGCGAAGGCGCUUGGCUAGAAUGGAUCUGACGGUGAGGGGUGAAAGCUAGGGGAGCAAAGCGGAUUAUAUACCCGCGUAGUCCUAGCUGUAAACGAUACCCACUAGACAUUGGCAAUCUUACGUGGGUUGCCAGAGUCGUACGGAAACCGUUAAGUGGGUCGCCUGGGGAGUACGGUCGCAAGGCUGAAACUAAGGGGAAUUGCCGGGGGAGCACAAACGGGUGGAGGCUGCGGUUCAUUGGAUUCACGCCGGAA
Molecule: ribosomal RNA, 912 nt
Filed under: uncultured archaeon
Lineage: Archaea
Description: bacterial SSU rRNA
Rfam family: Archaeal small subunit ribosomal RNA
Source: RNAcentral